RNAcentral lists this unclassified non-coding RNA (299 nucleotides) under plant metagenome. RNAcentral describes it as "partial contains 5.8S ribosomal RNA, internal transcribed spacer 2, and large subunit ribosomal RNA". The stretch from base 1 to 105 matches the Rfam family "5.8S ribosomal RNA", at positions 50 to 154 of the family's 154-position model. The record is from RNAcentral.
GAAAUGCGAUAAGUAAUGUGAAUUGCAGAAUUCAGUGAAUCAUCAAAUCUUUGAACGCACGUUGCGCCCCCUGGUAUUCCGGGGGGCAUGCCUGUUCGAGCGUCAUUUCACCACUCAAGCCUCGCUUGGUAUUGGGCGACGCGGUCCGCCGCGCGCCUCAAAUCGACCGGCUGGGUCUUUCGUCCCCUCAGCGUUGUGGAAACUAUUCGCUAAAGGGUGCCGCGGGAGGCCACGCCGUAAAACAACCCCAUUUCUAAGGUUGACCUCGGAUCAGGUAGGGAUACCCGCUGAACUUAAGC